This 1289-nucleotide ribosomal RNA is filed under the name uncultured bacterium. RNAcentral's name for it is "partial 16S ribosomal RNA". It matches the Rfam family "Bacterial small subunit ribosomal RNA", at positions 63 to 1342 of the family's 1533-position model. The record is from RNAcentral.
CGAGGGGCAGCGGGGAGUGAGGCUUGCCUUACUCUGCCGGCGACCGGCGCACGGGUGAGUAACACGUAUGCAACCUACCCUUUACAGCGGGAUAACCGGAAGAAAUUUCGCCUAAUACCGCAUAUACUCCUUGGGAGGCAUCUUCCGAGGGGGAAAGAAUUUCGGUGAAGGAUGGGCAUGCGUCGCAUUAGUUAGUUGGCGGUGUAACGGACCACCAAGACGACGAUGCGUAGGGGUUCUGAGAGGAAGGUCCCCCACACUGGUACUGAGACACGGACCAGACUCCUACGGGAGGCAGCAGUGAGGAAUAUUGGUCAAUGGCCGAGAGGCUGAACCAGCCAAGUCGCGUGAGGGAAGAAUGUCCUAUGGAUUGUAAACCUCUUUUGUCAGGGAGCAAAGUCACCCACGUGUGGGUGUUGGAGAGUACCUGAAGAAAAAGCAUCGGCUAACUCCGUGCCAGCAGCCGCGGUAAUACGGAGGAUGCGAGCGUUAUCCGGAUUUAUUGGGUUUAAAGGGUGCGUAGGCGGGUUAUCAAGUCAGCGGUAAAAUCGUGGAGCUCAACUCCAUCCAGCCGUUGAAACUGAUGAUCUUGAGUGGGCGAGAAGUAUGCGGAAUGCGUGGUGUAGCGGUGAAAUGCAUAGAUAUCACGCAGAACUCCGAUUGCGAAGGCAGCAUACCGGCGCCCGACUGACGCUGAAGCACGAAAGCGUGGGUAUCGAACAGGAUUAGAUACCCUGGUAGUCCACGCAGUAAACGAUGAAUACUAAUUGUGUGCUCCGAAUGAGGAGUGCGUGAUACAGCGAAAGCGUUAAGUAUUCCACCUGGGGAGUACGCCGGCAACGGUGAAACUCAAAGGAAUUGACGGGGGCCCGCACAAGCGGAGGAACAUGUGGUUUAAUUCGAUGAUACGCGAGGAACCUUACCCGGGCUCAAACGCAGGAGGGAUGUUUUUGAAAGGAGGCAGCUCUACGGAGUCUCCUGCGAGGUGCUGCAUGGUUGUCGUCAGCUCGUGCCGUGAGGUGUCGGCUUAAGUGCCAUAACGAGCGCAACCCCUACCGCCAGUUGCCAACGGGUAAAGCCGGGAACUCUGGCGGGACUGCCGGCGCAAGCUGUGAGGAAGGCGGGGAUGACGUCAAAUCAGCACGGCCCUUACGUCCGGGGCGACACACGUGUUACAAUGGCAGGUACAGCGGGAAGCCACUUGGCGACAAGGCGCGGAACCCGAAAACCUGUCUCAGUUCGGAUUGGAGUCUGCAACCCGACUCCAUGAAGCUGGAUUCGCUAGUAAU